Hipposideros armiger (great roundleaf bat) is the source of this 537-nucleotide RNA transcript. It is a transcript of the gene named ferritin heavy chain pseudogene, with no coding region annotated. NCBI's taxonomy places the organism in Eukaryota, Metazoa, Chordata, Mammalia, Chiroptera, Hipposideridae. The transcript has a single exon. The record is from RefSeq and is a predicted model, not a curated record.
AGUCUUCGCCCGGAGUUGCCGCGGUUUCCUGCUUCAACAGUGCUUGGACGGAACCGGCGCUCAUUCCUCCAUCCCGCCGGCCUCUCAGCUCUACCCUUCGCCACCUGCCCACAGCGCCCUCCGUCCGCCCUCAGGUUCCCGCCACCGCUCCAGCGCCGCCGAGCCGCCGCCGCCGCCGCCUCUCCUUAGCCUCCCACCAUGACGACCGCGUCCACCUCGCAGGUGCGCCAGAACUGCCACCAGGACUCGGAGGCCGCCAUCAACCGCCACAUCAACCUGGAGCUCUACGCCUCCUACGUCUACCUGUCCAUGUCUUACUACUUUGACCGCGAUGAUGUGGCUCUGAAGAAUUUUGCCAAAUAUUUUCUUCACCAAUCUCAUGAGGAGAGGGAACAUGCUGAGAAACUGAUGAAGCUGCAGAACCAGCGAGGUGGCAGAAUCUUCCUUCAGGAUGUCAAGAAACCAGAACGUGACGACUGGGACAAUGGGCUGACUGCAAUGGAGUGUGCGUUACACUUGGAAAAAAGUGUGAAUCAG